This 253-nucleotide ribosomal RNA is filed under the name uncultured bacterium. Its description in RNAcentral is "partial 16S ribosomal RNA". It matches the Rfam family "Bacterial small subunit ribosomal RNA", at positions 524 to 776 of the family's 1533-position model. The record is from RNAcentral.
UACGUAGGGGGCGAGCGUUGCCCGAAUUUACUGGGCGUAAAGCGCACGUAGGCGGCUUCGUAAGUCUGGUGUGAAAUCUCACGGCUCAACCGGGAGGCUGCACCAGAUACUGCGAAGCUCGAGGACGGGAGAGGAGAUUGGAAUUCCCGGUGUAGCGGUGAAAUGCAUUGAGAUCGGGAGGAACACCAGUGGCGAAGGCGGAUCUCUGGCCCGUUGCUGACGAUGAGGUGCGAAAGAUGGGGGAGCGAAAGGG